GGCGUUGACAAGACAUGGGGAGCUCUAGGCUGUGCGUGAGGCCCACCCACAUGAGCUGGGAUGUCAACACGUGUCCAGAGCAGACCUACUGUGACCGCCUGGUCCAGGACACGCCUUUCCUGAUGGGCCAUGGGCGCCUGAGUGAGCAGCAGGUGGACAGGAUCAUCCUGCAGCUGAACCGCUACUAUCCCCAGAUCCUCAACAACAAGGACGCUGAGAAGUUCCGGAACCCCAAGGUGUCCUUGCGCAUGAGGCUCUGUGACCUCCUGGGUCACCUGCAGCGGAGCACCGAGCGGGAUUGCCAGGAGUUCUACCGUGCCCUAUACAUCCACGCCCAGCCCCUGCACAGCCGCUUGCCAAGCCGGCACGCCCUGCAGAACUCAGCUUGCACAGAGCUAGAAUCAGGCACCGCGAGCCGAGAGCUCAGUGACAGGGGACCCGUGGCCUUCCUGGCCUGUCUUGGCCUGGCUGCAGGGCUGGCCCUCCUCAUCUACUGCUGCCCUCCAGACACCAAGGUGCUGCCAGGGGCCCGGCGUGUCCUGGGCUUCUCCCCAGUCAUUGUGGACAGGCACGUCAGCCGCUUCCUGCUGACCCUUCUGACAGACGACCUGGGGGGCCUCUGACAGACCAGCUGCUGCCUCCCAUCUCACACCAAAGAGCCGCCGCGUGCCCACCCACCUGGGGCCUGCGUCUUUUCCAAAUGCUUGUAUUUCACUAUUUGGGGUUUCCAGAGGCACCAGGCAGGCUGACUCCAGGAAUGAGGGGCUCCGGGAGCACAGGGAGUGGGAAACUAGAUGGGGACAGAGGAAUCAGCUCCAAGACAUGGUGGCCAGUUUGGUGCUAUUUCACUCUGUGUGCCCGUCGGAGAAGUAAGGGUGAAGGCAGGAAAGCCCUCCCACCUGCCGCCACCGAGGACGUGACUGAUCACCCGCUCUGCCAUCCGAGGACGUGACUGAUGGCCCGCUCUGCUACCCAGUCACCUGUGCAGUGGGGGCUUCCUCUGGGAACCUCUCCUUGAGCACAGCUUGGGGAAGUACUGCUCACUUAAAGCGCCAUCCCUGCAAGUGCUCCAUGCAUUUACCACUUUGCUGGCAGGCGCAGCUAAAGUAGGUUUCUGGUGGAAUGAGCAAGGUUGUUGCCCCAAGCUGGGCAGGCUGAACAGAGCCCCCAGGUGGCUGCGCCCCACAUGGAAGCCCUCUUGACCUUGUUGGGGUCCGGAGUGGGAGGCACUGUGAACCUGCCCACUCCCCUGCAGCCCUUCUCCGGGGCCUGUCCAGGGCUGGGAAGAGGCAUUGCUCCCCAGAUCCCUUGCACCCAUUGAGGCCCCAUGUAAACAAUCUCUCAUCGCUACAAAGGCUGAGCUGGAGGCUGCUUCUUGGUCGCCAGACAGAUGGGACUAGUACUAAUGCCUCCUCUAAGCUAUGAGCUUGGGGGCAGCAGAGGUUCUCAAGGUCAGCAGACCCUUGUGGCUCAGCCUGGCAUGUCCUUUCCAGUCUUCAAUCUCUCUAGCUGCCAUGAGUGGGCAAGAUCCUGAUUCCUGGGUAACUUUCUUCUGGGCGGAAGCCCUGGGGUGUUCUCCAUGUUCGUCUUGCUCUCUGAGAGACAAAGCUGGGAAAAUGCGACAGAGACGCCCAUGUAAACGUGGCAGAGACUCCUGGGUGAAGGUGACAGAGAUGCCUUGGUGAGGAUGACAGAAAUACUCAGGUGAGCAUGGCAAUGACACCUGUGUGAAGGUGACAGAGAUGCCUGGGGAAAGGUGACAGGUACCAGAUCUGCAGACUCCUUGAUCUCACGCUUGCAGCCUCCAGACUGAGAAAUCAAUGCCCUUUUUGUUGAAGCUGCUCAGACUAUGAACUCUGUUACACGAGUAGCAGCCAGGAGAGUCUAAGGCAGUGCCUGUGAGGAAAUGUGCAACAGACAGGCGGGCCUGUCACCUGACACCUGCGAGGUCAUGGCUCUGUAGGGCCCUGUGGCAGGGUGCCAUCCCAAGUGAGACAUGGUCAGUGCCUAUCCCGGGGCCUCAGGAGCCCUCUGGUGAGCCAUGAAGGUCCAGGGUGCUUGUCCCAUGGCUUGGGCUGGGCCAUUUCCCAUGACUACUUUUUUCUUCCAACCAUGACCCACCAAGACCCUGCCCUCAAGGUCCAAAGCCAGCUCCUGAGCCCAGGCUGUUCUUGAACCCUUCCUCCGAUCUCAGCCUCAAUGAUGAUGUCUGGACUCCGUGCCUGGAGCUGAGAUCUGUGACAGCCCAGCCCACUGGCCCAACCCACGGGCCAGGCCCCUCUCCAAUCUGCCUGCCCCCAUCUGGUCAGAGCACUGCAAGGCCUUUCCUCUUAGGGCAGGAUUUGGGGAGGGAAAACAAUAGGGCAUCUGUGUCUAGGUUCAGCACCUCCCCCCAGGAGUUCCCCAGUCUGUCUACCACCUGGUUAGUCAGUGCUUAUGACCUGGAGAGAAUUAAAUCCAUCAGGGCAUGAAAGGCACAACAAGCCAGAGCCUCUCCUGCUGCUCCUCCUCCCUCAAGGCCCUCUCUGUCUGCCCCCGACUCCCCACCUUCACACCCCAACAAAAAUAACUGCUUGUGAUCCAUGCCUCUGCACCUUUGAUGCUGUUCCCUUGGCUGGAAUACUCCUUACUAAUCCCCCAUCUACCCACUCUUUGGAUCUUGGGUAAAAUGCCACCUCCUCCAGGAAGUCCUCCCUAACAUUCCAGUAAGAAUACUGUCAUGCACCGCAUAAAGACAUUUUGGUCAACAAUGGACCACAUAUGUGCCAGUUGUCCAAUAAGAUUAUAAUGGAGCUGAAAAAUCCCUAUUGUCUAGUGCUAUAACUGUUGUAACAUCAUAGCCUUAUUCGUAUGUUUGUGGUGUUGCUGGUUGGUAUAAACAAAUCUGCAUUGCAAGUCAUAAAAAGUAUAGCAUAUACAAUUAUGUAUGUAACAGGGUGGACUGCUUCUCCUUCCCUCCCUGACUCCACCUUAAUUCCAGCCUGUUUCUGCAGAUAUGCUAAUUGACUGGAGGAGCUCUGCCUGGGACUUGAGUAACUUCCCUACUGGGAACAAGGAUUUGGAGAUUCCAAUCCCCCUUCCUUGGAUCCCACCUCUUGCCCCACCCCUUCUUCCUUCCCUAGAUAUAUAGGGUGCUGGAUGGUGGGGUGCUCUUAAGACAGAUUUGAGAAAAGUAGAAAGCUCCCAUCUUCUUGUUACAGCAUUGUCUCGAUAAAUAAAACCUUUUGUUAUUUCAAACUCUUAUCUAUUGAAUGUUAAAUAUUUGAUGCCCUGAGCACAUGGGCUGUGUGACAGCAACAUGUACAGUACAUAAUACAUGAAAAUAAAUGACUAUG
This is an RNA transcript of Hipposideros armiger (great roundleaf bat), 3335 nucleotides long. It is a transcript of the gene named caspase recruitment domain family member 19, with no coding region annotated. The transcript is spliced from 7 exons. The record is from RefSeq and is a predicted model, not a curated record. NCBI's taxonomy places the organism in Eukaryota, Metazoa, Chordata, Mammalia, Chiroptera, Hipposideridae.